Molecule: long non-coding RNA, 6674 nt
Filed under: Musa acuminata (dwarf banana)
Lineage: Eukaryota; Viridiplantae; Streptophyta; Magnoliopsida; Zingiberales; Musaceae
Description: long non-coding RNA (MACU_LNC010195)
Source: RNAcentral
UUGCCCUGCGCUAAAGGAAAGAAUGGAGAAAGAAACUUAUAUAACUGAGUAACCUCACACCUCACUGCUGACUUGAAGCUUGAACAUAGAAUCUCGUAACCCCCAAGCGAAAAGUAAGCUAAUGCACCAGCCGCUCAAGACCCUAAGGGAAGGAAACUACAAGGAAAGAGCCCUUUUAUAUACUUCAAAGGUACUUAGCGCACCCAUAACAUAGUACUUAGCUAGGCACCCGAAGAAAAUAGACUUAAGCAAAUGGGCACCCCGAAAGCUCCGGUGAUCCUAACAGACUAAAAACACGUGUUAGCAAAACAGACUUCAAAAGAAAAUAAGAGAGUCAAAAUAACGAUUGGUCCCUAUUCCUAUAGAGAGUUGUCAAUAAGGCGGGAAAGAAGUCAUAUUAGUAUUGGGAACAGUGCUGAAGAAGAGAAAAGAAAGGACAGAAAGAAUAGGACACAAGAAUCAGCAAUAGAACAUGAUAGAAGAUGUAACGGAGCAAGAAGACAAAGAGACUCAGAACUUGCAGUGACACCCGAAAGAAAAGAAUUCAUUAUCACGAGUAGCCACUCAUUACACACAAGAAAGAGUUGAGGUUUCAGCCCACCGAAAGUAGGAUAUAACUGUCUUCCCUGCUUUCCUCGGGCAUGAGAAGUGACUAAGGGACUUGCCAUGGGUAGGAGUGAAACGGGGGCACAGUCCGUUGUUCUCUAUCAAUUGAUUCGUUUUCUGACUCUAACUGCCUUAAAGCUUGAGAGACCGAGAACCCACUUUGGAUCUCUAACCCCGUCUAUUUGACUUCCUGCUUCACUUGGUAAAUAAAGCCGCUUGCCUUGAUCAAUAACAAUAAGCUUUACUUAUUGCCUGCUAUCUUGCCUAAGUCUCUUUCCCUUUUGAUCACUUCCUGAAGUAAGAUAAUGCUUCCAAACUUUUCCGCUGGCUUUCUUUCUAAUGGUACAGCCCAGAUAGCCUCCUCCUGCUCUCGUCUAUAAUCAACUGCUUUCUAGUCUUAUGGUCCAGAGGCAGAUCGUGCAAAAGAGAAAUCCCUUAUGUAUGGGCUCGCUUGGAGAAGGCACUGGCGCCCAAGGCAUUAGAUUAGGAUUGGACGGAGACUUUAUUACUGUACCGUAAGAGGUAACAGGCUAAGAAGAGUCGUUCCAGGGAAAUGAAAGAAAAAGGGCCUCGAUGCUCUUAGAAAGGGAUCCUUAGGAAUGAUCACAUUGCAGGAACGAAAGUCGCUGGAGAAUGAAAAGAAGGUGCCAUUCAAUUAGACUAGAGCUUUUGCUCGAGCUCGAGUAACGUGGGAUAUCCUAUCCUGUCUUAAAGACCGAAGGACUCCGUAAACCUAAACCCAAAGUCAAAGAAAAAGAACUUGAGUGAACGGGAUCUUUCCACAGCUUUCUCACUGUCUUUCAAAGAGUCAGGCUAAUUCUAAGGAUUGCUCACUGGUAAACUCGCUGAAACAAUAGAUUCCAAAAGAGAUUCCAAAAAGAGAAGACAUAACUCCAAGGAAAGCUACUCCAAAUCCUCGUACUAGACAAAAAAUCACCCACUGAGGAGAAAGAAAGGAAACAAGAAAAGGCGGGUAGGAAGAAUCCUUAUCUUUGGAGCCAAGAGCAAGAAUGGAAUACUUCGUUACCACUUAAGCAUACGUGGUCAAUGAAGGGGCAUGCUCUGGGAAGGCGGAUUCCUUAGUGUUCCUUAAUUGCAUCUUGAAUCUGAAUCCAAAUAAAAGCACUUACCAAACAAACCAACAACUGCUUUGAAAGAAUGUUCUGAUUUGAGCACUUUCCCACAGAUAUAGAAAUAGAAACAGAUAUACUAGAAACGAAAUAUCUUAUGUCAAUGACACCAAAGGGAUAUUAAAUGAAUGGAAUUGGGAUAUAGAUGGAAUAUAAUGAAAUAGAGCCACUACGAAGAAGUAACGGGGGUGACUAAGGAAACCUCGAGUUCAUAUUGGCCAUGGGUUUAGAACGGGAAUGGAACUCUAUGAGAUCUAAUCUCCCUAAGUUCCUCAAUAGCUCAGUGGUAGAGCGGUCGGCAGUUAACCGACUCAUCGUAGGUUCGAAUCGGGGAUAUUUGAUUCAUUCCGAAUUCCAGAAUGCAGAAUGCCCAGAAUGAAAGGGUGAGCUUUGACCGUUAAGAGUAGCGUUUCUAUUGCAUUCUAUCUCAUCGUAGCCCAUUCUGUUCUGCGCCUUCGAGAAAGUGAAAACAAGAGAAGAGAAGGGAGAGUCUCUUAGCUAGCCGAAAGGAAGAAAGCAGACCCAGACGAAAAGCGGUUUGAUUGACCCUUCUCUCUACAUUGAAGCUGGCCUUCGCCUUCCUCUUGUCAUUGCUACUCAAUAAGACAGUACAGUCCCUACCUCUGUCAGCGAGCUCGCUCAAAAGAAGGAUUGUUAGGUUGUGUAACUGCUAGGAUAAGCAAGCCCAUCUCUUUCCAUGCAAGUAAGAGUGCUAAACCUAACCUAAACCCACGUAGUGGGACUGAUGUUACACGUCUUAAGCGCAUUCAGUUGGAUAAAAAAGGACAUCCCUAUCCUCUGAUUUAGGCUCUAAAGAAACACAGAACUAGUCAUUUUGUGUCCCAGUAUAGACAUCUUUUUCAAGCCAGUCAAAAUACCUCCAUCUCCAUCUAACGAUGAGACCUUCAGUCCUUACCUAUUGGAAAAGUAGCUUGAUAGCAGUCCCGUUUCCUCCAGUUCCUUUUCUCUUUUUGGUUGAGGGGAAAGCCCUAUUAAUAAUUGCGACAAGACCUUUCCAGGCAUUUCCUUAAAUCUUCUCCACCAGCGAGUUAGAGUUUCCCUACCUGUUGCCAGCUAUCUAGUGAAAGUAUAAAUUAUGCCUCUUUGAAGGUAGACUCGGCGGUUUUCUAGCCAGCUAGGACUAGAGCAAAGCAAGGUAAGCCUGAGGUCAAUCCAUAAAGCCGGUAAGAGAGUUUCAACUUAUAAUAAGCAAACUUCAAACACUUAAUGGACUCCAUUUUGUCUUUUCCAGCUUAUCCAAUUUAGUCUAUUUUGUCAGAAAAAGAAAGUGCUUUUGGGGAAUCACUCAACCUUUCGAUCAAGACUUUAGGGCAUUGCUUCCUUUCACCGAGUGUGGGCACGAUCCCAUCUCUGGUAUCCCUUCCUCUAGUUGGUUUACUUGGCUCCCCAGACUUAUUCCUUCUAGGGCGAGUAACCAGGCGUAGCGGCAUUCUUUUCUUUACUAAAAGCAUAUUUCUCUGAGUUGGCUGUUGCAUUGAAAACUCUUUAAGCGGGGAAGGAAUGAUAACCAAAUCCUCAGCAAAAGAGAAAAGUGAGCAAUGGAAGAAAGAAACGGCCCUUCGAAGCGUGAAAAAGAAAUGCUGUAAAUGAGAUGACCCCCGCUUUCCAUUAUUGCUAGAGGCGAGGGGCAACAACUAGUCCGGUUCGACUGAUGAGGAAAAGCAGAGGCUUUCAGCACCUUGCUUUCAAAGAUCAAUCUGUUGCGGGCCUGACAAAAACAAGAGACCAGCAAUGAGAGUAAUUCUCAGGCCUCAUCCUUCCCGAGACGUUGUUAUGAGUAAAUAUAGAAUUCCUUAAGGGUAGGAUUCACCAUCCGCUAGACAUAGCACAUAAGCCAACUGUUGUAUAAAUUGGAUAGUACAGGAACCUUUCUACCUAUUUAAUCAAAAAGGGCCUUAAACACGGGGACACAGGUUGCUCCUUAAGCAUGUCCAGGCCCAGGAAGGAAGCUUUCAGACCAUGAGCAUGGUCGGGAGGAUCCUAGUGUAAUCCCCAGUAGAAUUGGCACUUAGCUCUUGACUGGAGGUGCUGUUCUUUAUUCGUAAAUAAAGGUCGGCCUGGAAUUGAAAGUUGUAUACAUCUAUAUGCUCACUAAGUAGCUUUUAGGUCGAGCAUACCCACAGCCGAAUUAGUCAGUAGGCAAGGGAAAUCCGUGAAUAAGUCCCAAGGUAAGCCUCCGAAUAAUACAUGGAAGACUAUAUAGAAGCAUAAGCUGUGGAAGUGUACUUAGCGGUCGGUCUAUUCCUUUUCCUUUCGCUCAAGUAUUUCACUUGAAAAAGCAAAAUGGAACCUCCUUGAGCGUUAGCCACUUUCGAUACCCAGAUUGCCUAAGCCCAGAGACACACUUUAGCUUUGCUCUGACCUUUCCUUGAAUUGAAAUUGGUUGGAAAACACUCUGAUGUGCUCUAGCUGCUAGAUCCUCUUCAUCUGAACACCGAUCGCCAGGUACGCAGUGAACGAGUAUAGAGUAUUUUCUAGUAAAGAAGGGACUCUAUGCAUUCCAUGAGAUGGACCGAUCUCUUGUGCUUAUACGAUUCCUUAGGAUUCCUUGAACGCUAAUUAGCAUUCAUCAGAUCAGACUUAUGAGUGCUAUCAUUCCCCCUGCCCUGAGAUUGGGGACUUUCUAGGCUUACUCGCUAUGCUACCCUUCUCUUUGCACAACUCGUAAAGAUGAGAUUCCCCGGCAUAGGAUCUCGAAGUGAUUUGAUCAUUUAGACUCUUUACUCAAUUCCUGGCCAUGUACUGAAAUUGGAGCGAAUAUCCAACAUCCUACGAUCCAAGAUAGAGUCUUAUCUCGAUAACAUAUACUUUGCUUUGAAAGCACUAGCCUUUUAUCAGUCUUUUACCUUUGACCGAGGAAUGGCACUCAUCCGAGUUACCAGAGAGAGCUCAUCUUUCUACGAAAACACUUGCUUAUAUGUUCAUAAGAUCUUCCCAGAUAUGAUUGAUUAUAUAUAUUAUAUAUAGUACAGGCCAACCCAACUUCGUGAAAAGUCUAGCAACUUUGCGAGCUAGAUGAAAGAACGAGGGGCUGAUAUAAAGAUAUAAAAUGACUCGACCAACAACUUACUAAACAAGCUGACUUACUUCAAAAGCAAAGAAUUCGAUCUUUGUGGUUUGGGAUGGAUGUGUAUUGUAUAAAAACGAACCUGGAAUCUGGUCUCGGUAAUCUGACCUCGUCGGUUAUUCCAUUCCUCCAUUUCCAACACUUGAGUUUGGAUGCCCGGGGAAGGUUCUUUUCUGGUAUGUAUAGGAUAAGUAAGUGACUCAAACUUGAGGCUAGGAAUCUACAAGAAUUAUAUGAUUUACCUUCAAGGAUUGCGACAGAAGGGAUGUGCCUAGUCAUCAAGCUAGCUUCCCUCCGUGGAAGAAGAUAAUCCUGUGAAUGGCCCAGAAGGUCUCUCUAAAUCGGGAUGUUAGAAGCGAAGAUAUAGCUAGCAAAGCCUGAAAAGCAUCUGACGAAAGAACCGGGCAUCACAUCAGCUCACUUGCCUUUCUUUCCUUUGAAAAGGGAUCGGCUUUUAUUUGACCCAGGUCCCUUCACUCACUUGAGGAUUAAUAAAACAGUGGGUGGGGAGUACCUAAAAACAUCUUUGGAAGUCACUGACCCCAGAUUGCAUCUUUUCCGGUUAGCCUGUCUCCACAGCACAGCAACUCUUAGGUAGGAUUCUUUUCGAUGUCACAUACUAAGAGAACUCGAGUCUUCCUCAGUCGAUCGAACAGAACAGCACUCCGGCCCAUCUUUUUAUUGAUCCUACUCAGGCAUAAAAAAACACCCUAUAUCUCAAAUAAUCCCCGGUGUUUUUGUUUGAUAUCAUGAAUAGAGCUAACAAACCGGAAUUAUCUGUCCUUCACUACUGGAUUUGAUUACUCGCUAGUUCGUUUAGUACGUUUGCUAAUCUUACCACUGGCUUUAUCUCCUCUCACCCAGAUUCAUAUACCAUCCAGCAAUUUCAGGGGAAUGAGCUAGAUCACAACAAAGAACAAAUAUACUAUAAUGAAACACAUGGGCCUUCCACUGCCUGCCAGCUAAAGCUGUAUAUCUAUGACUUUACUGGGUUAGGAUCUUCUAUUGGCUCAUUUGACUACAAAUUGGAUUACUUAAAGUUAGCUAGCAGUAUCUCUCUAUCCCCUUCGUCAUUCUACAAAUAAGGAUGCGGAAUCUUCCUAUGUGGUCAUAAAAGCAAAGAUCGCCCACUAAGCUAUCAGCGAACACAGUACCCAACAUCUUUCCUCUGCUCCGGUAAGCUUACCUCGCUUCGAAUGGGCAUUUUCGAUCCAAGAGUCAAUAAUUUCAGUAGUAAGCAUCAUAAUGGAAUUCCACUCCAUAUUAAGAGUUGUGCAGCACCAACCUAUUCUCUUUCUUAGUGCCAACACAGACGAAACUCGAGAUGAAACAAGAACUGGGCAUUCUGCAGCUGACAAUGCUCGAACUCCCCUUUAAGAACCGCUUACUGAGGUGGACGUUACACUUGGUAUGUAUCUAAGUAAAUAUACUGCAUCCUAAAGACGACUUAGAUCACUUAGCGCCGAAGAAGCACGCAAGGACUCUACUCAAGCUAGAAGAAGAUACCUCGUAUCAAAGCCAGUAAUAGCUGAGGAGACUCCUCCUGUUGAUUCUAUAUACGACCUACGACAACUAAGAUCAAGUUCCAAAGUCAUAGCAGCAGGCAAAACCCCUGUGACAAAUACUCCGUGAACUGAACCCUUAUAUUUCCUUCCUGCUUCGUCAACAACACCUUUAGACUUCCAUGCUCCAGCUGAAGUACUUCCCGCUUCCACACCAGUAAUGGAUUCUUCUCCACUGAGCAAGACUUAACGGAUGACUUGAGAACUAAGGAAUGAAAGUGAGUAGUAUCAGUUUUAAGCAGAGGCACAACCAACGAGUAAAGCCUGAGAAGUAGCUCAAUGUAAUCG